RNAcentral lists this ribosomal RNA (137 nucleotides) under uncultured eukaryote. RNAcentral describes it as "partial 18S ribosomal RNA". It matches the Rfam family "Eukaryotic small subunit ribosomal RNA", at positions 1299 to 1458 of the family's 1831-position model. The record is from RNAcentral.
UGGUGGAGUGAUUUGUCUGGUUAAUUCCGAUAACGAACGAGACCUUAACCUGCUAAAUAGCCAGGCCGGCUUUGGCCGGUCGCGGGCUUCUUAGAGGGACUAUCGGCUCAAGCCGAUGGAAGUUUGAGGCAAUAACA